AGCCUACGGGAGGCAGCAGUGGGGAAUAUUGCACAAUGGGCGCAAGCCUGAUGCAGCGACGCCGCGUGCGGGAGGGAGGCCUUCGGGUUGUAAACCGCUUUUGUUCAAGGGCAAGGCACGGUCUUUGGCCGUGUUGAGUGGAUUGUUCGAAUAAGCACCGGCUAACUACGUGACAGCAGCCGCGGUAAUACGUAGGGUGCAAGCGUUAUCCGGAUGUAUUGGGCGUAAAGGACUCGAAGGCGGUGCGU
Molecule: ribosomal RNA, 248 nt
Filed under: uncultured bacterium
Lineage: Bacteria
Description: partial 16S ribosomal RNA
Rfam family: Bacterial small subunit ribosomal RNA
Source: RNAcentral